GGGUCGUUAGCUCAGUUGGUAGAGCAGUUGACUUUUAAUCAAUUGGUCGCAGGUUCGAAUCCUGCACGACCACU
This 74-nucleotide transfer RNA is filed under the name Klebsiella pneumoniae. Its description in RNAcentral is "tRNA-Lys". It matches the Rfam family "tRNA". From Rfam's summary of the family: Transfer RNA (tRNA) molecules are approximately 80 nucleotides in length. Their secondary structure includes four short double-helical elements and three loops (D, anti-codon, and T loops). The record is from RNAcentral. Lineage: Bacteria; Pseudomonadati; Pseudomonadota; Gammaproteobacteria; Enterobacterales; Enterobacteriaceae.